RNAcentral lists this ribosomal RNA (442 nucleotides) under uncultured bacterium. RNAcentral describes it as "partial 16S ribosomal RNA". It matches the Rfam family "Bacterial small subunit ribosomal RNA", at positions 338 to 795 of the family's 1533-position model. The record is from RNAcentral.
CCUACGGGGUGCAGCAGUGGGGAAUAUUGGGCAAUGGGCGCAAGCCUGACCCAGCAACGCCGCGUGAAUGAAGAAGUCUUUCGGGUUGUAAACUUCUUUUAAGGGGGAAGAGCAGAAGACGGUACCCCUUGAAUAAGCCACGGCUAACUACGUGCCAGCAGCCGCGGUAAUACGUAGGUGGCAAGCGUUGUCCGGAUUUACUGGGUGUAAAGGGCGUGCAGCCGGAGAGACAAGUCAGAUGUGAAAUCCACGGGCUCAACCCGUGAACUGCAUUUGAAACUGGUUCACUUGAGUGUCGGAGAGGUAAGCGGAAUUCCUAGUGUAGCGGUGAAAUGCGUAGAUAUAAGGAAGAACACCAGUGGCGAAGGCGGAUUACUGGACGAUAACUGACGGUGAGGCGCGAAAGCGUGGGGAGCAAACAGGAUUAGAUACCCGUGUAGUC